Molecule: long non-coding RNA, 303 nt
Filed under: Citrus sinensis (sweet orange)
Lineage: Eukaryota; Viridiplantae; Streptophyta; Magnoliopsida; Sapindales; Rutaceae
Description: long non-coding RNA (CSIN_LNC004722)
Source: RNAcentral
GUAAUAGGUUGAGCCGCAAUUCUUUCGAGCUAAGUCAUCGGCGUUCUGGCCGUUUUUUGGCAACAGUGAUAGCUGGGAUAUAACCGGCGUCUCACGAGCUUUUGAUUGGUACCAAGCUUGGUUGCUGGGGUGGCUGGAAUCAUGAGAUUCAACAAGGCCACGUUCAUGGAUCAGGUCAGGUCUUUGGGUUGGUUUGACAACUUCUCUCACUCUCAUGUGUGGUCUUUCUUUCUCUCUCUCCUCCAAACCUUUAUUAUUUAUUUUUUUCUUAACCACCUUUCUUUUUUUUUUCACAUAUGUUAC